RNAcentral lists this long non-coding RNA (324 nucleotides) under Setaria viridis. RNAcentral describes it as "long non-coding RNA (SVIR_LNC003131)". The record is from RNAcentral. Lineage: Eukaryota; Viridiplantae; Streptophyta; Magnoliopsida; Poales; Poaceae.
UUGGGAGGGCAUAGUAACUUAAAAUUUGUGAGGGAUCAUUCUACUUCUAACAUCACAUCAAGCAGGAGUAAAAUAAAGAAUAGCAUUCACACAGUUGUGACAUAGUAUUGCUCAAUUUCUUAUGGUGAUCUCCAUCUCCAUAGAACCUGUUCACCAUGAUGAUCUCCAUCUUCAUGAUCCAUGUGUGCCAUCCUCCUAGUGAUGAGUCCUCCAAGAACUAGUACAAGCUAUUACAUCUAAUCAGCUAGUAAAGAAGGUUACAUAGUUGCUUGGAUCAUCACAGAUCGACACGCAGGUCAUUAAUUACAUUAAUGUGACAAUAUA